This is a long non-coding RNA of Hordeum vulgare subsp. vulgare (domesticated barley), 2259 nucleotides long. RefSeq lists it as uncharacterized. The transcript has 2 exons. The record is from RefSeq and is a predicted model, not a curated record. Lineage: Eukaryota; Viridiplantae; Streptophyta; Magnoliopsida; Poales; Poaceae.
AAUGCUUCUGUGAUUAUGGUGCAACGUAGGACAUCGAGAAUGAAGCCCCAUAGCUCCCACAAUCAUCGCUGAAGCCCGCUCCUUCUCUCUGCUCGUGCGCGCGAGGGGAAGAAGAUGAACCCGACAGGUGGGUUCCACCUGUCGGUGAGCCAGCCCUUGCCCCGAUGGUGUAUACCCCUCCAGAGCAUAUUCUCUCAGAGGAAGCGUAGUUCUGAAAGAUGUAGGGAGAAUUCCUUAAAAAAAUUGAAGUGCACGCAGCUCUUCUUCAUACCCAAGGCAAGCAUCUUGAACAAUGAUUUUUCAUAAGUUGAGUGAUUCCUUGCUGCGAUAAAUGAAUGCAUGUUUAUGCAUGAAUGCAUGUGACGGGCAUUUAUUUGCUGUUGAGCAUAAAAUUCACAUGAUGGUGGGUAUUGUCUCAUACCGUGUAUGCCUAUGCUGAUCCGAACAACCUCGAAGGAAGGUUUGUCAUGGGUGAAAGUGUGACCAUGAAACUGAUAUCUCGUUCUGAUGAGAGUGAUCAGUGAGGGCAUAUCGGGGUAUGAUGGUGGUAACACUCUCGGAUAUCAUUCGGAAAUUUUGUGAUGCUAACCAUUGUAGGGAAACUUAAACCUCCUGAGUCAACCAUAGAUCAAGUAUUGUACUAGUAACCCGCAUACUUGAUUUGUGCUACCACUUCUCCCUGCCACAGGUAGGGUACGGUUCAGUAAGUUGUCAACCCCUUUACUUGCACGCACCAUACAGAGAGGCCAUAGUGAAAGAUACCAUUGUUCACUGCUAGGCAUGUCACUUGGUACGGGGGCAUGGGUGUUCCGGUUGGACCGAGGGGGUAGCGCCCCUAUCUGCGUGCAGUAAAAAUAUGUUGAUCACAUGCUAAUCGCGGUUGUGGUCUCCCAAUUAGAGCUUUGCCUCACGAUUGCUUUGGGAGAUUCCUGGCAUCGUGAAGUUAAGCUGGUGCGUGCAGGUCAGGUGUGUUUUCUACUCAAUGACCGUAAGCGGAAUUAGCCAACAUCUUAGGUUGAGUAAGGAAAUCCAUUACUCAUGGGUAAAGAGUACACCCUCUGCAGAGUUAAAUAUCUAUUCGAAUAGUAGUGUCUGUAGGUAAGGUCUACUGUCUGGGAUAGGUGAAGUGUCGGUGUGACUGUCGGUCUUCAGAGGAAUUAUUGAAACAUGAUGAUGAUCAUGAACGGUGAUGGAUGAUCAUAGUUAUUAUGAAUCUUAUUGUGGCGUAACCAUUUCUUGUAUAAGAAAUUUUGAGUGCCCUCUGAAGUUUCUACCUCCCGGAUACUCGAUGUUAUUAUUGUCCUUAUAAGCCCUUUUGUAGCAUCGCUUCAGACCCGACUGUGGCAACUGUUAUUAUUUCCAUGUAAGCCCUUUAUGUGGUGUCCCUCCAAACGCCCGACUGUGGCAACUGUUAUUAUUUCCUUAUAAGCCCUUUAUGUGGCAUCGCUCCAGGCGCUCGACUGUGGUAAUUGUUAUUAUUUCCAUAUAAGCCCUUUAGGUGGCGUCGCUCAGACGCCCGACUGUGGCUAGUAUGUUUUUACUUACUCAUUUUUAUGAUUAUCUUAUAAGCCCUUUAUGCGACGUCGCUCUAGACACCCGACUAUGGCACAUCAGUUAUUAUUUCGUUGCACGCCCUUUUUGUAGUGUCACUCCAGACGCCCGACUGUGGCAUUACUAUAAUUAUACUGAUAUAAGUCCCUCUAUGUGGCAUUGUUUACACACCCGACUAUUGCUUAUAUUGCAUGUCAUUUCAAGGUGUCGCUCCAGACGACCGAUCAGCACAUUUAUAUUUAUUGUUACUUACUUCCCUUGAUUGCUUAUACAUCAUUGGUAGGAAUGAUUUAUCUACAUAAUUGCAUCAAUAAAUUAAAUCUUAUGGCAUGUCAGUUGUUAUUAAAAUUUUAGUGCAUCAAUCUCACCUACUUUUACUUAUCUGCUUUCAUGAUGUUUGCGAGUAUAUUCAAAGUACUCACUGGCUUGACCCUGGCUAUUAUCCUGGCCAGAUUGCGUAUUUGGAGAAGAGCAUGAUGAUGACAACCCCAUACCUAAGCAUCAAGGAUAGCAGCCUUGCAAGAUAGGAGUAAUCCAGCUCAGCUAUUCCUGUGGGAAUGGAGUCCAAUGGAUGCUCGAGAUCCACGAGUAGCUUCCGCCAUCAGCCACUCGACAUUUUGUUAUACCCCCAUGGACCCACUUGGUCUUGUACCCUCAAUCUUGUAAUUUUCUUGGAAUUUAUGUAUCAAGUGAGUGUCCACCAGCUAA